This 497-nucleotide ribosomal RNA is filed under the name uncultured bacterium. Its description in RNAcentral is "partial 16S ribosomal RNA". It matches the Rfam family "Bacterial small subunit ribosomal RNA", at positions 28 to 507 of the family's 1533-position model. The record is from RNAcentral.
GAUGAACGCUGGCGGCGUGCCUAAUUCAUGCAAGUCGAGCGAACAGACGAGGAGCUUGCUCCUCUGACGUUAGCGGCGGACGGGUGAGUAACACGUGGAUAACCUACCUAUAAGACUGGGAUAACUUCGGGAAACCGGAGCUAAUACCGGAUAAUAUAUUGAACCGCAUGGUUCAAUAGUGAAAGACGGUUUUGCUGUCACUUAUAGAUGGAUCCGCGCCGCAUUAGCUAGUUGGUAAGGUAACAGCUUACCAAGGCGACGAUGCGUAGCCGACCUGAGAGGGUGAUCGGCCACACUGGAACUGAGACACGGUCCAGACUCCUACGGGAGGCAGCAGUAGGGAAUCUUCCGCAAUGGGCGAAAGCCUGACGGAGCAACGCCGCGUGAGUGAUGAAGGUCUUCGGAUCGUAAAACUCUGUUAUUAGGGAAGAACAAAUGUGUAAGUAACUAUGCACGUCUUGACGGUACCUAAUCAGAAAGCCACGGCUAACUACGUG